GCGCCUGUAGCUCAGUUGGAUAGAGCAUCCGCCUUCUAAGCGGAGGGCCAGGGGUUCGAAUCCCUUCAGGCGCGCCA
This 77-nucleotide transfer RNA is filed under the name Marinomonas sp. S3726. RNAcentral describes it as "tRNA-Arg". It matches the Rfam family "tRNA". Rfam says of the family: Transfer RNA (tRNA) molecules are approximately 80 nucleotides in length. Their secondary structure includes four short double-helical elements and three loops (D, anti-codon, and T loops). Lineage: Bacteria; Pseudomonadati; Pseudomonadota; Gammaproteobacteria; Oceanospirillales; Oceanospirillaceae. The record is from RNAcentral. RNAcentral also lists the same sequence under 4 other names.